This 468-nucleotide ribosomal RNA is filed under the name uncultured Sphingobacteriales bacterium. RNAcentral describes it as "bacterial SSU rRNA". It matches the Rfam family "Bacterial small subunit ribosomal RNA", at positions 910 to 1382 of the family's 1533-position model. Lineage: Bacteria; Pseudomonadati; Bacteroidota; Sphingobacteriia; Sphingobacteriales. The record is from RNAcentral.
UUGACGGGGCCGCACAAGCGGAGGAACAUGUGGUUUAAUUCGAUGAUACGCGAGGAACCUUACCUGGGCUUAAAUGUAGAGUGCAUUUUUAGAGAUAGAAAUUCCCUUCGGGGCUUUCUGCAAGGUGCUGCAUGGUUGUCGUCAGCUCGUGCCGUGAGGUGUCGGGUUAAGUCCCAUAACGAGCGCAACCCUUAUCGUUAGUUGCCAUCUGGUAAUGCAGGGGACUCUAGCGAAACUGCCACCGUAAGGUGAGAGGAAGGUGGGAUGACGUCAAAUCAGCACGGCCCUUAUGUCCAGGGCUACACACGUGUUACAAUGGUCGGUACAGAGGGCAGCUACCUGGUGACAGGAUGCUAAUCUCGAAAACCGGUCUCAGUUCGGAUCGAAGUCUGCAACUCGACUUCGUGAAGCUGGAUUCGCUAGUAAUCGCGCAUCAGCUAUGGCGCGGUGAAUACGUUCCCAGGCCUU